This 501-nucleotide ribosomal RNA is filed under the name Russula foetens. RNAcentral describes it as "partial large subunit ribosomal RNA". It matches the Rfam family "Eukaryotic large subunit ribosomal RNA", at positions 70 to 570 of the family's 3401-position model. Lineage: Eukaryota; Fungi; Basidiomycota; Agaricomycetes; Russulales; Russulaceae. The record is from RNAcentral.
CAGGAUUCCCCUAGUAACUGCGAGUGAAGCGGGAAAAGCUCAAAUUUAAAAUCUGGUGGUCUUUGGCCAUCCGAGUUGUAAUUUAGAGAAGCGUCUUCCGCGCUGGACCAUGCAUAAGUCUCCUGGAAUGGAGCGUCAUAGAGGGUGAGAAUCCCGUCUUUGGCAUGGACCCCCAGGGCUUCUGUGAUGCGCUCUCAAAGAGUCGAGUUGUUUGGGAAUGCAGCUCAAAAUGGGUGGUGAACUCCAUCUAAAGCUAAAUAUUGGCGAGAGACCGAUAGCGAACAAGUACCGUGAGGGAAAGAUGAAAAGCACUUUGGAAAGAGAGUGAAACAGUACGUGAAAUUGUUGAAAGGGAAACGCUUGAAGUCAGUCGCGUCGACCGAGACUCAGCCUUGCCUUGGCUUGGUGUACUUCUCGGCUGACGGGUCAGCAUCAAUUUCGAUCCUUGGAUAAUGGCAAGGGAAAGGUAGCACCUUUACAGGUGUGUUAUAGUCCUCUGUC